RNAcentral lists this transfer RNA (74 nucleotides) under Candidatus Portnoyibacteriota bacterium. Its description in RNAcentral is "Candidatus Portnoybacteria bacterium tRNA-Ala". It matches the Rfam family "tRNA". From Rfam's summary of the family: Transfer RNA (tRNA) molecules are approximately 80 nucleotides in length. Their secondary structure includes four short double-helical elements and three loops (D, anti-codon, and T loops). Lineage: Bacteria; Candidatus Portnoyibacteriota. The record is from RNAcentral.
GGGCCCGUAGUCCAGUGGUAAGAUGCCGCAUUCGCAUUGCGGAGGCGGGAGUUCGAUUCUCCCCGGGUCCACCA